UGCGGAAUUCGUGGUGUAGCGGUGAAAUGCUUAGAUAUCACGAAGAACUCCGAUUGCGAAGGCAGCUCACUAAACUGUAACUGACGUUCAUGCUCGAAAGUGUGGGUAUCAAACAGGAUUAGAUACCCUGGUAGUCCACACGGUAAACGAUGGAUACUCGCUGUUGGCGAUAUACGGUCAGCGGCCAAGCGAAAGCGUUAAGUAUCCCACCUGGGGAGUACGCCGGCAACGGUGAAACUCAAAGGAAUUGACGGGGGCCCGCACAAGCGGAGGAACAUGUGGUUUAAUUCGAUGAUACGCGAGGAACCUUACCCGGGCUUAAAUUGCAAAGGAAUUGCGUGGAAACAUGCAAGUCUUCGGACCUUUGUGAAGGUGCUGCAUGGUUGUCGUCAGCUCGUGCCGUGAGGUGUCGGCUUAAGUGCCAUAACGAGCGCAACCCUCGCCGCCAGUUACUAACAGUUAAAGCUGAGGACUCUGGCGGGACUGCCAUCGUAAGAUGUGAGGAAGGUGGGGAUGACGUCAAAUCAGCACGACCCUUACGUCCGGGGCUACACACGUGUUACAAUGGGCGGUACAGAAGGCAGCUACCUGGCGACAGGAUGCCAAUCCCUAAAGCCGCUCUCAGUUCGGACUGGAGUCUGCAACCCGACUCCACGAAGCUGGAUUCGCUAGUAAUCGCGCAUCAGCCACGGCGCGGUGAAUACGUUCCCGGGCCUUGUACACACCGCCCGUCAAGCCAUG
This 741-nucleotide ribosomal RNA is filed under the name uncultured bacterium. RNAcentral's name for it is "bacterial SSU rRNA". It matches the Rfam family "Bacterial small subunit ribosomal RNA", at positions 660 to 1406 of the family's 1533-position model. The record is from RNAcentral.